This 253-nucleotide ribosomal RNA is filed under the name uncultured bacterium. RNAcentral's name for it is "partial 16S ribosomal RNA". It matches the Rfam family "Bacterial small subunit ribosomal RNA", at positions 524 to 776 of the family's 1533-position model. The record is from RNAcentral.
UACGAAGGGGGCUAGCGUUGCUCGGAAUCACGGGGCGUAAAGCGCACGUAGGCGGGUUGUUAAGUCGGGGGUGAAAUCCUGGAGCUCAACUCCAGAACUGCCUUCGAUACUGGCGACCUUGAGUCCGGGAGAGGUGAGUGGAACUCCGAGUGUAGAGGUGAAAUUCGUAGAUAUUCGGAAGAACACCAGUGGCGAAGGCGGCUCACUGGCCCGGUACUGACGCUGAGGUGCGAAAGCGUGGGGAGCAAACAGG